CGAGUGAGCGGCAACAGCUCAAAUUUGAAAUCUGGCUUUCGGGCCCGAGUUGUAAUUUGUAGAGGAUACUUUUGAUGCGGUGCCUUCCGAGUUCCCUGGAACGGGACGCCAUAGAGGGUGAGAGCCCCGUCUGGUUGGAUGCCAAAUCUCUGUAAAGUUCCUUCGACGAGUCGAGUAGUUUGGGAAUGCUGCUCUAAAUGGGAGGUAUAUGUCUUCUAAAGCUAAAUAUUGGCCAGAGACCGAUAGCGCACAAGUAGAGUGAUCGAAAGAUGAAAAGCACUUUGAAAAGAGAGUUAAAAAGUACGUGAAAUUGUUGAAAGGGAAGCGUUUAUGACCAGACUUGGACUUGGUUAAUCAUCUGGGGUUCUCCCCAGUGCACUUUUCCAGUUCAGGCCAGCAUCAGUUUUCGCCGGGGGAUAAAGGCUUCGGGAAUGUAGCUCUCUUCGGGGAGUGUUAUAGCCCGUUGUGUAAUACCCUGGCGGAGACUGAGGUUCGCGCUUCUGCAAGGAUGCUGGCGUAAUGGUCAUCAACGACCCGUCUU
This 541-nucleotide ribosomal RNA is filed under the name Fusarium sp. Jian53. RNAcentral describes it as "eukaryotic LSU rRNA". It matches the Rfam family "Eukaryotic large subunit ribosomal RNA", at positions 90 to 655 of the family's 3401-position model. The record is from RNAcentral. Lineage: Eukaryota; Fungi; Ascomycota; Sordariomycetes; Hypocreales; Nectriaceae.